CGGGUAGUCGUAGAGUUGAUCAUGGCUCAGGUGCGGUGGGAACACCUCUUUAAAGUUUUAGCGGCGGACGGGUGAGUAAGACGUGGGUAAAUGCCCAUAAGACUGGGAUAACUCCGGGAAACCGGGGCUAAUACCGGAUAACAUUUUGAACCGCAUGGUUCGAAAUUGAAAGGCGGCUUCGGCUGUCACUUAUGGAUGGACCCGCGUCGCAUUAGCUAGUUGGUGAGGUAACGGCUCACCAAGGCAACGAUGCGUAGCCGACCUGAGAGGGUGAUCGGCCACACUGGGACUGAGACACGGCCCAGACUCCUACGGGAGGCAGCAGUAGGGAAUCUUCCGCAAUGGACGAAAGUCUGACGGAGCAACGCCGCGUGAGUGAUGAAGGCUUUCGGGUCGUAAAACUCUGUUGUUAGGGAAGAACAAGUGCUAGUUGAAUAAGCUGGCACCUUGACGGUACCUAACCAGAAAGCCACGGCUAACUACGUGCCAGCAGCCGCGGUAAUACGUAGGUGGCAAGCGUUAUCCGGAAUUAUUGGGCGUAAAGCGCGCGCAGGUGGUUUCUUAAGUCUGAUGUGAAAGCCCACGGCUCAACCGUGGAGGGUCAUUGGAAACUGGGAGACUUGAGUGCAGAAGAGGAAAGUGGAAUUCCAUGUGUAGCGGUGAAAUGCGUAGAGAUAUGGAGGAACACCAGUGGCGAAGGCGACUUUCUGGUCUGUAACUGACACUGAUGCGCGGACAGCGUGGGGAGCAACAGGAUUAGAUACCCAUGGUAGUCCACGCCGUCAACGAUGGAGUGCUAAGCUGUUAGAGAGUUUCCUGCCUUCAUGCUGAAAGUUAACGCAAUUACGUCACUUCCGGCCUGGGGAGUACGACUGUCAAGCUGAAACCUCAAGGUAUUGGACGGGACUCGCCCUAUCGAUUGGAGAGCAAGUGCUG
This 936-nucleotide ribosomal RNA is filed under the name Bacillus cereus. Its description in RNAcentral is "bacterial SSU rRNA". It matches the Rfam family "Bacterial small subunit ribosomal RNA", at positions 1 to 948 of the family's 1533-position model. The record is from RNAcentral. Lineage: Bacteria; Bacillati; Bacillota; Bacilli; Caryophanales; Bacillaceae.